Molecule: ribosomal RNA, 253 nt
Filed under: uncultured bacterium
Lineage: Bacteria
Description: partial 16S ribosomal RNA
Rfam family: Bacterial small subunit ribosomal RNA
Source: RNAcentral
UACGUAGGGACCGAGCGUUGUCCGGAUUCAUUGGGCGUAAAGAGCUCGUAGGCGGCUGCUCAAGUCGAAUGUGAAAACUCGAGGCUCAACCUCGAGCCUGCAUUCGAUACUGGGCGGCUAGAGUCUGGUAGGGGGAUCUGGAAUUCCUGGUGUAGCGGUGGAAUGCGCAGAUAUCAGGGGGAACACCGGUGGCGAAGGCGGGAUCCUGGGCCAGUACUGACGCUGAGAAGCGAGAGCAUGGGGAGCGAACAGG